AGCCUCUCGGGACAGGUGUGAUGUUUCACAUUUUGUGCACGUUUUUGGUGAAGGUUUUUGGUGCCGUGUGCUGAUAAAUGUGCAACACAAUUCCAAAUAUUGUAAUCUUCUAAUCCAUUGAUGAUGAAGUUAUUUUGUCAAGUGACAUAUGAACCUUUCCCAUCGAUCAUUCUGAAAUUAUCUGCAAAAUGUGGGGAAAAGAAGGAAGACCAUGAAAAUUGUGGUUCAAAAAUAUGAUAAAACUAGGACAAAAUGGAGGGAAAUUGAUUUAUUUUUAAUGCUGUCUUUCAAUAAACUAAGCAGAAACUACAUUCAAUAUUGACAUCUCCAAUAUAGUUUAUAGAUUAUUCAUAAAUAAGUGGAAAUAUAGAAAUUAAUUUAUCUUCAAAUACAAUGUAACAACCUCAGGAAAAAUCAUGUCAUUAUUUGUGGGACCAAAGUCCAAAGUGAUUUUCAUUUUUGUCAAUAAACAUGAGAGAUGGGAGACUGACAAAAUGUGUAGAGAAAUCUGGAAUGUUUAGGGGGAAACAUUAAAAAAAUGGAAGUCAAAAUAAAUUAAUGACAUUUAUGAUGAAUUCAUGAAUAAAAACUGUUGUUUUAUGAAAUUAAAAAUGUAGUUUUAUGAUGUAACUGACUCAACAACCCCUCAAUCAUCAGAAGACACUAUUCGGAUUCCUUCAUGAUGCUGAUGCAAAUAUUGAGGCUAAAAUACGUCCAGCAAGAUGAAAGCUUCACUGUCAUUUCAGAUGUUGUAGCUCGCCUGUUAUUUAAAGCUCAUUGUCGACUACAUUGUGAGAUAGCAACUAAAGUUUUAGGAGUGUGUUUACUCUGUCAUGCUUGAGUGAAUAUUGGACAGCAGCAGUGUGGUCCCAGCGUCCCGGGGUCCUCCUCAACCCCUGGAGACAGAAGUGACAGAGACCUCGCCGACAGAGGAGUCAAAGGAGUGUGACCCCCACUGUUGGUCAGCAAGUUGCUUCUUUUGACACUUUGUCUCGCUGACAGAGGAAAAACACGGCCUCCCACGUGCGCAUGGUCACUCGGCUGCUUGUUACUGGAACACCAGAGGAAGCUGUCACAGUUAUUAUUUGAGGACAAUAAAUGAUGACAACACUGACACCCGCGCUUAUUUUUAGUCAUCGCCAGUGUUGAAGAAGAGACGCACUCAAGUUGUGUGUCAGCAGAAAAUGUUUCGCAACACAAGACAGCUCGCCAUUUAUUGACGUGUCCAUUUGCUGAUCUGAGGCUUUCUAUGUCCUCAAAUACGCAACUUAUUUCCGUUCUUGUUGUUCUGAGAUUGACCCUCCAGGAUGUACUUCAUUGGAUGAUAGGAGCAUGUGGCGCAGGGGGCGUACCAGCCCAGCGAUCAGACCCUGAAAACUCUUCAAAGGACCUGAGCAGCAUCGUCCUCUAACCUCUGGAAGGAACCAAAACAAGUGGAUUGAUGGAGAGAAGCGCUGGCGUCGCCAUGGAUCAUCCGGAGGCGAAGGAAGGUCAGCGUCGGGGUCCUGGCCACUGCUGGACUGCAAACAAGCGUGGGCUGAGCUGCAGGGGAGGGACGGCUCCAGGACUUAUCGACGCAGUGGCGAGAAAUGAAG
This is a long non-coding RNA of Synchiropus splendidus (mandarinfish), 1595 nucleotides long. RefSeq lists it as uncharacterized. The transcript has 3 exons. The record is from RefSeq and is a predicted model, not a curated record. Lineage: Eukaryota; Metazoa; Chordata; Actinopteri; Syngnathiformes; Callionymidae.